This 288-nucleotide unclassified non-coding RNA is filed under the name uncultured Ascomycota. Its description in RNAcentral is "sequence contains 5.8S rRNA gene, ITS2, 28S rRNA gene". The record is from RNAcentral. Lineage: Eukaryota; Fungi; Ascomycota.
AAUGCAUAUUGCGCCCUAUGGGCAUUUGUGGGGCAUGCCUGUCUCAAUGUCAGUAAAAUCCAUCAACUUCUGACUUUUUUGUUAGAACAUGGAUUCUGUCAGAGAAGCUGUGAUCUCCCAGGUCAUAGCUUCUUAAAAAUUUAUAAAUGUUCAAACUACCAUGUUGGAAAUAUAAUAUGGUUAUUUUCAUUCCACAGGGUUUGUUUUGGACCAUCCUAAAACUCACAUGCUAUCAAGGACCUUCAAGCAUUUGACUUGAGAUCAAGUAGGGAUACCCGCUGAACUUAA